Molecule: small nuclear RNA, 164 nt
Filed under: Salvator merianae (Argentine black and white tegu)
Lineage: Eukaryota; Metazoa; Chordata; Lepidosauria; Squamata; Teiidae
Description: U1 spliceosomal RNA (ENSSMRG00000010746.1)
Rfam family: U1 spliceosomal RNA
About the family: U1 is a small nuclear RNA (snRNA) component of the spliceosome (involved in pre-mRNA splicing). Its 5' end forms complementary base pairs with the 5' splice junction, thus defining the 5' donor site of an intron.
Source: Rfam by way of RNAcentral
AUGUUUAUCUGGGAGAGGAGACAUCAUGAUCAUAAAAGUGGUUUCCUGGGGUUCAGGGUCAUUCUUGGCAUUCUGGGUGUGAUGUUUCCUGUGAUUUCCUCAAAUGUGGGAAACUCAACUUCACAAUUUGUAGCAGUGGGGGACUGCAUUUAUGCUUUCCCCUG